AAACUCCCCAUACACAUUAUAACAAACAGGGUGUCCCUCUUUAUCAUGACCAUCCAUAAACACUACUUUUUCAAGAUCAUCCCCAAGAUUUUCAUCUACUAGUUCUUCAAUAUUGAACUCCUUUCUCCAUAAAAUUGUGUUCUUUAACAUAGCAAAUGACUCCUUAACCUUGAAAUCUCUAGCUCUAAGAAACUUAAGCAGAAUAACAUCACUCCUAUCAUCUUUCAAUAAUGGUACACCCCAAAUAGAUACUUCUUGAGGCAAAUCUGUUGUUCCAGUAGUAAAGGUCUGAUCUUUAACAGCUUCUUGAACAAGAAAUUUAAAAUCUUCAAGUGCUUUUACCUCAGAAU
This 350-nucleotide unclassified non-coding RNA is filed under the name Hevea brasiliensis (rubber tree). Lineage: Eukaryota; Viridiplantae; Streptophyta; Magnoliopsida; Malpighiales; Euphorbiaceae. The record is from RNAcentral.